Molecule: long non-coding RNA, 29870 nt
Filed under: Oryza brachyantha (malo sina)
Lineage: Eukaryota; Viridiplantae; Streptophyta; Magnoliopsida; Poales; Poaceae
Description: long non-coding RNA (OBRA_LNC003121)
Source: RNAcentral
CGGCCGUCGCUUCAAGAGGAGCGUGCUCGUACGGCGGUGGCUCGCCGAAGGGUACGCGCGCGGCGGCGAGGACGUCCUGGGCAACAGCACCGACGUGAACGUCGCCGACGGCCACUUCGGGUCCUUCCUCGACCAGAGCAUCAUCUUCGUCCAUCCUGCCGACGACGACACGGCCGGAGAGGGAGACGACGACCACGAUGGCGGCGACCACCAGGCGGCGGCGGCGGCGCGGACAAAAUGCAGGACUCACGGCAUCGUGCACGAGUUCGUCCUGCACAAGUCCAUGGCCGAGAACUUCAUCCUCUCCUCCCGCGCUCCGACGCGCAAGAGCGUCCGCCACCUCUCCAUCCACGGCGGGAACACGACGACGACGCUGAGCACGACGGACCUGUCUCGCGUCCGGUCACUGACAGUCUUCGGCGACGGCGGCGACGCCGUCUCGAGCCUCCGGAAGUGCAAGAUCCUCAGAGUCCUCGACCUCGAGCAGUGCACCACCGCUCUGAGCGACAAUCACCUCGCCGACAUCUGCAAGCUCUGGAACCUAAGAUACCUAAGCCUCGGGAGCAGCAGCGGCAUCACCAUGCUCCCGGACAAGAUCCGAAGGCUCAAGCUCCUCGAGACGAUCCAUGUCAGCAAGAACAAGGUCACCGAGCUGCCAGUACAAGUCAUCGGGCUGCCAUGCCUAGCCCACCUGGUCGGAAAGUUCAAGCUUCUUCUCCCAGAUCACCAUGCGAGGAUGACGACAGCAGUGAAUAUCAGCAGCGAGCUCCUCGAGCUCGCGAAGAAGAGCAAGCUCGAGACGCUCACCGGCUUCGUCGCCGACGAGAACGAGCAGGCGUUCCCGAGGCUGAUGAGCAACAUGCGGAAGCUGAGCAAGGUCAAGAUAUGGUGCGAGUUCACGGAACCACAAGGCGGCGGCAGCAAUGUCUCGACGCCGGCGGCGGCGACAACCGACCACCUCGCGGAUGCUAUCCGGAGCUACAUCGAGGCGCCCAAGGUUGAAGAGACCGACGCCCGGUCGCUGUCCAUCGACACGGCGCAGUGCUCGAAGCGGCUCAUCCGUUCGUGCCAUGGAGAGAGCAAGUUCUUGCACUCCCUCAAGCCCCCAUGCCGCAGCUACCUCACCUCGCUGAAGCUCCACGGCGACCUGUUCCGGCUGCACGGCCUCAUCUCCAUGCUCAACAACCUCAACGACCUCUGCCUCUCGUCGACGACGACGACGCUGACCCGGGACCUCGCGUCAGCCAUCGGCGGGCUGCCGCUGCUGCUCGGCCUCAAGCUGAUCGCGCAUCGCAUCGAGCCCUUGGAGAUAAAACGCGACCAGUUCCGCAGCCUGAAGCACCUGCUCCUCGCCGUGCAGCACCCGGUGCUGCCGGAGAUCGAGCAGGGCGCGCUGCGGCAGCUCGUCACACUCGGGCUGCUCUGCGAGCGCCUCUCCGGCAUGGUGCAGAUCAGGCACCUCGAGCGCCUCAGGGAGGUGGGCCUCGACGCCCGCGUGGGCGAGGCGACGCGGCGGGAGUGGGAGGCGGAGGCCAGGAGGCACCCGAACCUGCCCACCGUCUUGCUGCUCAGGAACACGUACAGCGUUGUGCUGUCUGACGAAACUGACGGAAGGGAUGUUGAUGGUGCUCAGAAUGGUGGCGAUGAGGCUGCUGGGAUUGCAGCUGCUCCUGAGAGAUCUUCACCUGAUGCUGCUGCUGCUGCUGUGGAGGGAUCAGAGAGCAGCAGCGUUGUGCAGGUGGGAUCAGCAGGCAGUGCGUUCCAGUUGAGUGGUGGUGAGUCUGGUGACCUGACCAAGCCUACUCUGAAUAAUUCAGUCGCUGUAGUAGAGGAGACGGCGCCUGAUGCUCAAGAGGUCUCCAGCAGUGUGAAAUUCACAAAGUCAUAUUAUGAAGACUGCUGCCCCUGCUGAGGUAAACUUUAAGAAUCGACGUGUUACUUUUUUUUCUUUAUUCGACACGGUUGACUUUUCUAUUUAUGUUUUUAUCAUUCAUCUUAUUUGAAAAAUUAUGCAAAUAUGUAAAACAAUAAAUAAUGCUUAAAGUUCCUUUAGGAGCAAAUAAAAGUAUAGGAAAAUAAUUAAUAAUUAUAUAAAUUUUUUAAAUAAGAUGAACAGUUAAAUAUAUAUCCAAAAGGCAACUGCGUAAAAAUAAAAAAACAGUAAAGAGUAUAUAUGUAAAAAACAGUAAAGAGUAUAUAUGUAUGACUAAACGCGACCGAUUAGUCGUAUACUGGAGACCUCACUGGGCACUACCUAUUGCAAUACUGUUCAAACAAGCUGAUAAAAUAAUAACAUAAUGAAAAUACUUCUCAAAACAAAAUAUUCUAUGCACAUUUGUGACUACUCCCUCCCCUUAAAUAUAUGUGUUGUUUGACUUUCCAAUGAUCUUUGAGGUGCAACUUUGGUGAUAAAAAUAUUUGUUACUACCUCUGUUUCAUAAUAUAAGAUGUUUGACUUUUUUGUUGCAACGUUUGACCAUUCGUCUUAUUCAAAAAUUUAGUACAAAUAUAAAAAUUAACAAGUCGUGCUUAAAGUUUUUUUUGAUAAUAAAGUUAGUCACAAACAAAAUAAAUGAUAUUUUCAUAAUUUUUUGAAUAAGAUAAAUGGUUAAACAUUGCAAGCAAAAAAGUCAAACAUCUUACAUUAUGAAACGGAGGGAGUAGUAUAGUUGAGGCCCCAUUUGAUUUAAAAGAAAUUUAUAUGAAUUUUAGAGGAUUUCAUUCCUACAGGGUUUUUCCUACAAAAACAUUUGAAUCAAAAAAAUGAACCUUAUAAAAUCCUAUGAAAUUUCUAUGGAAUGUCUCUUUCCAUACAAGUUUUGGAGGAAAUUUAACAAAAGGUAGAACCUCAUGGAAAAAUCCUUUGAGUAUUUAUCUCUCCUCAAAUUCCUGUGUUUUUCCUGUGGUCCAAUCAAUCGGUUAUUCCUACGUUUUUCAUGUGUUUUGCAAUCCUCUAUUUUACACUUACAUUUCUAUCAGAAUCAUUUUCAUCCUUUUCAUGUUCUUCUAUUUUUCAUUCUUGUGAUUCAAAGAGGCUCUAAAAUCUAAUAACUUCUCAAAUCAAUCAAAGCACUUUUCAAGACAGACGUAUGCAUGCCCCUUUUAUAAUUGUCCAACCAAUUUUAAAUUUUAUUUGAGGUCAAAGUUUAAAAGGUUUGACCGAAUAUUAUUAAGAAAAAGAUAUGUUUAUGACUAAAGGGAGCUCCAUGCAUCAUAUCGAAAUAAUUGAAUUGUUCUGGUAUUCAGUGUUUUUGAAGUUUUACAUAAUUAAACUUAACGACGUGUUCAAGGCGAAUAAGUUUUGUGUCUGGACAGAGUACAUGAUAAUGCAAGUAUAUUUGUGGGCUGACUGUUGUCUGUUGCUACUUGCAGGACCGUGACUAGCACAUCUAAAUGCUGCUAAGGAUAUUGCCGUUUGGUGACAUGACUGAAUGCUAGCUUCUAGCUGUGUCUUCAGGAUCGAUAAAUCAGGCUAUAAGCCAACGUGGAAAAUAGAAAUAAAUAAAUAAAUAAUAAGAAGUAUUGGCUUUUUUAUGUACUCCCUCCGUUUCACAAUAUAAGAUUUUCUAGUCUUACCUAGAUUCAUAUGAAUGCUAAUGAAUCGAGACAUAUAUAAAUUAUAUGCAUUCAUCAAUUGAUGAAUUUAGAUAAGACUAAAAAGUCUUACAAUAUGAAAAGAGGCAGUAAGAGGUAGCUCUAUGUAUGCUCCAAAAUUGAUGUAUUAUAGGAUAAAAAUAGAGAAAACAAUUUUAUAGCUAAUCUAUUACUCCCUCCGAUCUUUAAUAUUUAACGUUAGGACAAAUUAUCUUAGGCAAAAGAUAGUUCAUUUGAUUGUCUAAAAUGUCAUGUAUUAGUAACCGGAAGGAGUAUAUAUGUUAUCUGUAAUAUGGUUUUAAGCCAGUAGUUAGCUAACCUCGUCCUUAUAAGAAGGCAUGCUGUGAGUUAUACCUGUUCAGUAUCUUUGUAGUUUUCCUGCAAGCUAGAUAUAUCUACUGCUAUACUGUGAGUUAGCCUACCGACAAGUAUAAAUUCAUUCUGUGUAUAGUUAGGCUUAUAUGUCUUAAUUAUUAAGUACAUGGAUAUGAUCUCGAUUUAUAAACAGGUUCUGACCUCCCUAGCUUCAAUUUAUUGAGUAAUUAAUAUGGUGAAUGAUAUGCUGCAAGGGGUGGGAAUUAUAAGCAUAGCCUUAGCUUUCUGGAGCAGCUAGCUGUGGGAGGGGAUGGGAUGACAUUCCUCUCAAAACAGUUUGUUUUGUUAGCUGUUGUGAGUUGACAACUAGCUUUCCAUUCAACAUACACCCUCCGCUACAUUUAGAUUUAUCCAUAUAUCAAUAUAUAUGUUUUGUAUAUGUGCGGUAUAUAUAUGAAUCUAGGUCAGUAUAAAAAGUCUUAUAGUAUAAAACGGAACAAAGAAAAUAUUCUAUAAAUAAAACGACGAGGGUAUUAAGGCCAAGAGUUGUGGCCACUAGCUUUCCACUUUACAACAUGGCCUGAGGCACGAUCGUUUGGAGGGGUAUGCAAAAUCAUUCUGAGGGUCAAGCUUAAGCAGCCUGUUCUUGGGAGGGCACGACCAAUCUCGUUAAAGCCUCUCUCCCCUGCUACAUUCUGAAGCUACGUUAAGAUUGUUUAUUAAGCUUACAUAUGUACUUCCACAUUAAUGCCUCUCGGCCAGGUUCAUAGCCUCAUAUCGAUGAAGUAGAAUGGUCACUUGUAGCUGCUGAUGCCACAUUAAGUGUAAUCCUUUUUCUUUUUUUUUCUUUUUUUUUGCCAAUAAAGCACAAGCUGUUUACAGAGAAAAUUAGUUUAACAAAUAACCAUGCAAUGGGUAAAUCAUCAUAAAGAACAGAGAAAACAAUAGGUGUUACACCUAAACACUGUUUCCUUUUUCUUCUAUUAAAAAGUUAAAACACUGUAUCCUAAACACUACUAGGUGGGUUCCUUUUUUUUUAGCAUUUUAGGUUUUUUUCCUACUUUUUUGGGGUUAUAUAAGCUAUAAAGGUGAACUAGUUUUCCCAGAAAAAAAGAACUAGCUCUGUUUAAAAUUAAGGAUUCUACCCGGAGUUACCAAACCUACAGAAUAAGGACUAAUGGAGUUUCACAAAGCUGAACGCAUCAAAAUUUCUUAUGGUAUCAGAUUCCUCCUGAAGAACCUAUUUCUCAGCCAGUAAGCUUCCUCAUCUUCCAACCCUAUAAUGCAAGUUUCAGCAAGAACCAGCCUGGAGAGGAGGAAAGUCAGCUUCAUCUUUCAGUUGGUAGAAUCCUUCUGACCUGCAGAUUUUCAUUCCCAAUAAGAUGCACUUCAAUACUAAGCAUAAUUGCAAGGAAACAAUCACGUCUAAAAUUUAGCCCACUCGAUAGAAUGGCUUACCUGCUUUCUGUUGCAGUUGGCUGAGGUCUCGCAAGAGUUGAAAUUGGGGUUUCUACAGGUCCCUUGAUAGAAGGCAGAAUUGGGAAUACUGCUCUGAACUUUGCACAGGGAACGCUAAAUGAGAUAGGUCCGAAAGAUCCAAACUGAAGACUUUCAUCUAGUUUUGUUUUGAUUGGAUGACAAACCUCUAUUGCAGGUGAGGAGGGCUGACAUGUAUUGGAUUCUUGUAUAUUUCCUUGACCGUCGUGGCCACAAAGAGGAAGCACUAUACAAGGUGAUGCUGUAGCUUUGCAGAUUUGAACUUCUGGUGGAUGGAGUAUCUGUAGCUCCCUUGAUUCAUUGUCAGGUCUGACAAGGCUUUCGCUGGUAGCAGGUUUUUGGUUGUCAACCAUGUUGUUGUUGUCUGAGCAAACAUACCCAUGUUGAUUGUUAUGAACAUUCCAUGGCUGGCUUAUUUGUGUCAGUUCGGUUGCAUGAUUUGUUGAUGCACUCUCCAGAGCAAAACCUCCUUCACCUGGAACUACAAUUUUGCCUGAGUAAUCCUGUUGUGAACUAUUUUGGUUUGUUGGUAUAUGAUAUGUACUUUCAGCUGUAAUAACCCCAUUGCUUUCAUCAGAACAUCCAACUUCAUGUGAGUUGUGCUGAUGAAGGUGGCCAGUUUGGUUGGUUUUAAUCUUGAACAGUCGAUUUGGUAAUAUUUCUCUUUGUCUUCUUCCUUUUUCAGACAAUAUGCGCUCCUUGUAAGUAUCAUAACUCUGUAAUAAACAAAAUGAACUGCCUGAAUGAAUUAACUAAUUACAUAGAUUUAGUAAGAAAUGCAACAAUUCACAAUUUCUAGUUUAUACUAUUAUCAAUUUUCAGUGUGUAGCAUAAACAACUCAUUUUAGAUUUUACAAUGCUGAUAAUCAAGGUUUGAACCUAGAAAUUCUGUUGGGAAAUUUUCAUUGACCCCUAAUACGGUAAUGAACGAAUCAUUUCCUGCCCAGGAGGAAACAAAGAAUAAGAGGAAUAUAAAGUAUGGCAAUAUUGUAGCAUAAGGAACAAAAGAUUAAUGAGUCAAUCUACUGAACACGAAAUCUUUUUGAAGUUUAAACAUGGAGCACCAAGAAAUACAUGAUUUCCCAAGAGUCCUCACCAUCUGGGGAAUGUAUGAGCCAGUUCCACGCGUCACACGAUUAUUUCUUGUGCUAUUAUACCCAAAAAUGUUAUGGUUCUCUGAACCGUCAGCAGGAGAUGAAAAUUGUCCCAAUGCAUUUGAUAGUACAUUUGUUCCAAGAAACAAUGAUGCAUUCUGCAUAUAUGCAACAAACAGGAAUUAAGUCAAUUCAUUGAAAGCAGAGCUUAUUGCAAACUGUGUAGAAUAAAAAGUUGAUGCACAAAGCAUCAGAGUCUCUUACAUUGAGAGAUUGCAUGCCAGUUCCAUAAGUCCUAAGAUCCUGUGUGGUAUGAAACCUAUAAACAGGAUAGUUCUCUGAAAUAGCAGUAGGAUAUGGAGAAAAUGUCAACCCGUUCGAUGUAAUAUGUGUUCCUGAGGGUAAUGAACCAUUCUGCUGACAAACUGCAUUCACUUGGUCCCCAGUGUGUGAUUUAUGACAAAUAUCUCCUGUGCUAUGCGAAUAGUAAACUGGAGAUAAGUUCCUUAUCUCAGUUUUAGAAGAUGAAACUGAUAAUAACCCUGGAUGCCUUGCGUCAGUAUUUGAAAAGUAGCUCUCCGUUGGAAUCUUGAAGGAGUCUUCAUCUAGCACACCAGACAAAAAUGCUUCCUGAAUCAGCUGCACCAACCCAUCAAACAUGGACUCCAGGUGGUACUGAAUUUUCCGAAGGCAUCCCAAGUGCAAAUCCAGAUCCCCUGAUAGAUCCAACAAAUUUGAUGUUGAGCAAGGAGAAAGUAUCAGUUUCUGUUCAUGGAGAUCACUCCUAUUUGACUCAGCUGCGCAAGAAUGGGGAACAUCCAAAGUAUUUGUACGAGUAGAGGGAGUCAAUAUAUGUGGUUUAUUGUUCGCAUAAAUCUGUUGUUCCAUAAAUGAUAUAACAGGUGGUAAAUCUUCCCCUGCAGAACAAUCCUUGCAACCCUGUUUAAAGCUGUCGUUACCAUUCCCUGUGGAAUAUGUUGAAUGGAUAUUGAAACCGGUUCCUGAAACCAUGUUGCAAUAUUGAAUAUCAGAAUUUGUAAACCUGAUUUUGUUCCAGGGACAAUCUUUAGCAUUACCUGGGAAAUAGCUAUCUGAGGUCCUGUGCGGAUUCGGACUUCUGUUUUCAUCUUCACUUCUGUUGGAAUUGUUCAAGACUGGUGCAUCUUUUCCAAGUGCAUAUUCAGGAGCAAGCAAGAAUUCUGGGGAAUCAUUUUUACCAACGUCUGAUCUUUCUCCUCUUCCAUGUCUCUUCAAGGUGUUCAUAAAAAAUCCAAAGAUCUCAGUAGGAAUAAGGUCAGCACGUAACAUGAGAAUUUGACCCAGCUUUUGUGCACCAAAUGAGAAAGCACCUCUUAUGCGGUAAAAGCUUCCUGCCGAAAAAAGUUUAUCAGAACCAAUCCUGCAAAGAAAUAUCAUCUAUGUGUGCAGUUAGGAACAUAUGCCUUUCUACACAUGUAAAGAACCAAAAACACAUGUUAUGAAUAAGCACACAGCGAAAUGUGCACUAUAUGGUGGUGGAACAUACAAAACAAAACGACGACAAAAAUAAAGAUAAAAUGACACAGCCGCUAGGUUAUUCUGACCUUUGCUGACGCUUCUGCCAAGAUUAUUACUCCACUUCAAUGGAUCAAUUAUGUUCAGAUGCUUCAGGCAAAUAUUUAUGUUUGAUCCACCAGAAACUUCUGGAAGUACAAUGAGUUUAUCAAACGGGACCUCAAGGAUCUCCUUGCUAAACAGUAAUUCAUCAUUUAUGGCCGAAAGUUCAACUACAUAUCACAGAGAUUAUAAUAUUCAGUCCAGUUAAUACAUGCCUGCCUAUCACUUGACGGAGGAAAAAAUACAUGACUCACCAGCAAGGUUGGGCAAAGAUGACAAAAGAACAGGACCAUUUAGACUAAUGCAAUACUUUUCCCAGUCAAACUUGCUAAAAUAUUCCAAAAACUUGUACAAAGCCUGUUACACAAAGACCACACAAUAAAUUAAUGAAUAUCCGCUGGGCAUUUCAUCCAAAAUCAUUUUAGUUCAACCAUCUUAGGAAGCAGCUUGUAAAAAUUCUGAAAACUGUUGUGUCUUCGAAAGGUUACCUCUAAGGGGCCGUGCAGAGAUUUGUGAAAUAUAUUAAAUAUGUAAAGAACAAGUGUUUCCAACGCAUAAGUAGAUAGCAGUCCAUGAUGAGCUCCUAGUAUGCGGCUUUCAUAAUAGCACCAUGCCUUGAUUAGCAUAAUGCUCCUCUUAAACAGAUGAUUUUUGCCAACUUUACGGUCAACCUGAAGAAGGAAGCAACAUUCAAGUAUGUGAUCAACAUAGCAGCAUACAUUUGUUCAAAUUUCUUGGUGAAUAUUCAAGAUGAGUAGUUUUGAGUGGAGUAGAUAGUUAGAUUUGUGUGUACCAGCUCAAGAAAGCAGAGUGUGGAGACACCACCAAUUUGGUUGAACGAGAUGUCAACAACAAUAUUCUCAAUAACACAUUUAAUGAGCUUUACCUGGAUACAAAAAUAAUGUCAGAAUUUUAUGAGACUGUGUACAGAAUUUUAUCAGUGGCAUAUAUAGAAGUGAGGAUUGCAUAGUUCAAUAUUUUUUUCCAAUGCAUAGCAUCAUUUGGAAAAAGAAAAUAAAAUUUCUGUUUUCUUAAGAGACCAUGCAUGAAGAAUGAUGGAAAAAAAGGAAAAAGGUCAAAACAUUGUUAAUUUUUUUCCUAAACUUUCUAAAGUAAAUGGAUUUAGAAAAUAAUAACACAGAAAAUGCACCUCAGCAUUGAUGAAUUGCAAACCCUUUAUUUCAAGUUCUGUGCCGCUAUCCUGCUCCGAUUCAAGUAUACUGUGAACAUCACUAAUGUAAGUGCUGUCCAGAGCAGUGUUCCCAAGUACAGUUAUAUCAAUAUCCCCGUCUGGGAGAUAGCUCUUCAGAGGAACUGACCCAAAUGCAAUUACCUGAAGUAUCAAAAGGAAAUAGCAAAACACCAAUCUUAGUGUAAAGUGAAAGGUCAGAGUCAUUCACUGCACCAGCAAUAUCUAUUUGAAAUGCAGGAUUGUGAAAACGUAGGAACAUGAAAACAUAAGAAUAGAAUGUCAUACCCACUAGAUUUUACCAGGAAUGGAAAACACAUGAAAGUUCUAAAACUACCUGUUUGAUGUUAAUGACCUAAACAAAGAGAUGAUCAAAAUGGCACAUUAGGUCAUAUGCAUUGAAACUUGGUUAAAUUAAUUAUACACUCUUUCUAUCUUGGUCGGUCUGACCACAGGGAGUGCUCCAGUCUGAUCGGCGCCGGUUUGACUGGGCCAGGCUUGGUCUGACCUAUGGGCUGUGAGCCGGUUGAACGGCCAAUACAGAGCCGCCAGAGUUGUGGCCAAUAUGAUCAAGCUCCAGUCGGUCUGACCGGUUGGUCCACUCCAGUCAUACCAUGCUACUUGUUGUCAGUGCAUUUAAUGCACUAUAACGGCUAGAAAAUUAGUCAUUACAAUGUUGGACGGUCUGACUGACCACCCUACGGCGGUCUGACCGGCAGGCAACAGAGUUAGAGGGUUUCGACCCCAAACAGCUAGUUUUUGAGGUGUGGGGUAUAAAUACCCCUCCUUCAGCAGCAAUGGGUCCCUCUUGGCACUUGCUUCAUUUGCAUACGCCCCUUGCAACUAUUCUCGCACUCUCUUGUGCGUACUCAUCUAUUUGAUGUGUUUGAGAGUUGUUUAAGCCAAGAUUCGAGUGCAUUGCUUCAUUGUAGAGCUAGUGUGGCACUUGAUCAUCUCCAAGCCGAGCUAUCGCUUAUUACUCUUAGAGGUUCCCGCCUCCUAGAAGGCUUGUGGAGGUGUUGCUCGAUGACCUCUCCAAUGAGAUUGUGGAGAAGGCCUAGUGUCGGUUUGUGUGUGGUUUGGAGUUCACCACCUUCAGGGUGAGGAAGAAUUACCCUAGUGAUCGAGGCUUGGUUAGUCUACUUCGUGGGCCGGCUCACACCUUGCCCACCCCUUGACGAAGGGGGCUUGCGGUGACUUAGUGGUUUUGAGCGAUGAAGUUGGGCUCGCCUCAAUGGGGAUUAGAAAACCUGCGAGUUUCCGAACCUUGGGUGAAAAAUUCUCUUGUCCCAUUUACUUAUUGCAUUUACUUUUGUGCAAUUUAUUUUGAUAGCGACAUAAUUGAGCCCUCGUCACCCUAGGAUUGCAAAACAUAACUUAGUUGCUUAGUUAGUCUUAUCCUUCACCAAGCCUAGCAACUUAGGUUAGUUUUGAUUAGCUGUUAUUUAUUUUUAAGGGCUAAUUAGAUCCAUGGCAUUACAAAUUUGCUAGUUUUGAAAAAUACCAUUACAAUUCACAUAAUUGGAAAUAUGUCAUUACAAUUCUUCCUCUUUCAGAGACAUGCCAUCUUAUACGCCUUGAAGGCUAUUGGACCCACAUGUGUAUAUACAUAUCGCCCAAAAUGCCACUGCUUCAUCUCUUUUCUUAUACGGGAGGAACGACGACCUCUAGUCCCCUCCAUUAUCGCCACCGGUGACGCCGCCACAUCACAUAAUUGGAAAUGUCAUUACAAUUCUUCCUCUUUUAGAGACAUGCCAUCUUCUAUGCCUUGAAGGCGGUUGGACCCACAUGUGUAUAUACAUAUCGCCCAAAAUGCCACUGCUUCAUCUCUUUUCUUGUACAGGAGGAACGAUAACCUCUGGUCCUCACCAUUACCGCCACCGGUGGCGCCGCCGUUGCCACCCCCUCGCCUGUAAAAUCUCCGGCCGUCAUCAUGGCCACCACCAUCACAGUUCGUCAUCCUCCCCUUCCUACGAUCAGAGGUCGAGUUCAAGAACACGAACUUCUCCUGGCUUUGCCCGAUGAGCCGCUGCCACCACCUGAAGACCGACCCAGUCGUGCCGCUCUUCUGGCAACUCGUCGGCGAAACCGCCACCACAGGGGAACCGGUGACCACAGGCAGUACGUCUUCGUGGGCAUGCCAUCAAGAUCGCCAUCAUCAUUGGGUUGUUGACCCAAUGGCACCGCCACCGCUGAUGCCCUCCACCAGCAGAAGCUGCCAUGGCGCGGGCUAGGGGUGGGCGUUCGGUUUAUUCGGUAUAUACGGUUCGGUUUGUUCAACUUUUCAAACGAUUGGUUUUCAACAAUCUCAAACCGAAGUCUCUAUGGGAAAACUAUAAACCGACCCGAAUAAACCGAUCUACAUCGGUUCGGUUCAUUGGUUUUACUGAGAAACCCGAUAAAAGAAAUUGCGCAUGCCACAUGCGCUUAGCCUGCCCACAUGAGUUGUCAGGCGUCGUUCAAGGAAUGGUGGUGGUUGGAACUAGCAUGGAUUAGUAGUGGGCCUCUAGGAGUUAGUGAAAGGUAGUGGUAUUAAUGGGCUUUUGCAUGGCUUAAAUGGACUAGACACGCAAGGAAUUCAUGCUGGAUAUUGUAUCAUACACAUUGAUCGUUUUUACGGUUUCUUCGGUCUCCACAGAUUAAAAACCGCACAUCAAUCCGAACACCGAACAAAAAAAGGACAGAAGCCGAAGAGGAGACCGAUCACCGAAAAACCGAUAGUUCGGUUCGGCUUUCGGUUGUCGGUCUUUUGAUGCCCACCCCUAGCGCGGGCGACGGACGAGGCCGCCUCAGCGAGCACGAAGAGGGCUUGGGACAGGUUGAGUGGCAGGCUCCUAGAACAGGACCUAGGAGUCUAGGACCUGGCCGAUCUAGAUGAGGUGUUCGAAGGCGUGGAAGACGCCGAGGUUCUUGAUCCCACGGAAAGGGUUCGCGCAGGGAGGGUCUACGAGCGGUGGUGACAGGCCCUGCCUAGGGAAGUCGACAGCGACGGCGAUGAGUCCAUGGGAGGAGAGCGGGGCGCAGGGUGAUGGCGAAGAGGUCGGGCCUGAGAUGGAGCUUUAGCAUGCUGCCCUCCAAGGCGUGGGAGCGGAGGAGGGACGGAAUCGAUGGGAAGGGAGGAAGUGGGGGAAGAGCGCAAAGGGGGAGACGGCAAUGGUGAGGUUGAACCAAAGUGGUUGUGGGAGAGAAGAAAUUGAAGACAUGCCCAUGUGUUAGUGAGUCGGAGAUAGGGGCAUUUUGGGCAAUACAAAAUUACAGUGGCCUGCAUGUGGGUUCAGUGGUGUUUAGGGUGUAGAAAAUGACAUUUCUAAGAUAGAUGAAGAAUUGUAAUGGCAUCUAUGCCAACAAAGUAAUUUUAAUGGUAUUUUUCUAAAUUGGCAUAUUUGUAAUGCAUGAAUCUAAUUAACCCUAUUUUUAAUCACCGAUUCCCCCUUCUAGUUAACAUCUUGAUCCUAUAAUAGGCCUUCUUCUAUCUUUAGCAUACGAUGAAUUAUAUUUAUAUUUAUAUUUAUAUAUAUAUAUAUAUAUUUAUAUAUAUUAGUGUAUGGUGAAUUUAUAUGAUUAUAGUAGGAUGACGUUCGUUUGUCCUUAUCGAGUUCGCCCCAUCUAUUUUUUAUUCGUGGUUCAGCAAUAAAGAGGCAAUAUCUACACAAAUUCCAAGAGAUGGAGUAAAUAGACCAAUAUAUUAAUAAUAAAAUGAAAUUAUUAUGGUGUAUUGGAGGAUGUAUGUUACGGGUAAUGUGUUGUAUAUGUUUCCUCCUAAUUAAUCAGUAGAUGAUGUAGACAAAAUUAGAUAUAGUAGCAUUCAUAUUUCCAAAAACAAGCCUGUUUACACGCUAAGGUGAAACGUAAAAGUAAAAUACCUAGGCUAGUAAAAAAAGCCACAAAAAACGGUCAAAGAACCUUAUCCUCUUUUUUUAUAAUAAAAUAAAUCUGGCAUGAUGUCACUUGCUAGACAGUAGGGACACCAAUUGGUUGGAGCUACUGUACAGUGAAUAUGGCCGGCCAGUCAAUUGUCAAACAAGUGUCAGUAAAAAGCGAUCUGGAUGGCUUGGAGAAUAUGAACUGGCAAUUUCACCGGUUAAUCCUAGUCAAGACGAAAUUGGCGGAUUAGCCUAAUCCUAAUCAUCACCAAAACGGAAUAAAGACUAUAACGACACAUGAGCUGAGCAAGCGAUUACGCGAAAGCUCAUCCAAGACAAAUCCCUUUGGGGAUGGAAGCGGACGCAUGCAUCAUGUAAGCAACUGCAAUUUUGUUUGUUUUUGUUUUCUUUUGGAAAGAGAAAACUGAACCACAAAAUCCGCGAGGAUCAGGAGGCGGCGGCGCGGUGGCCGGACUACCGACGACGACGGAAGGGCUAGCUAGCACGCGGUCGGCGCCGGCGCCGAUGCGAUCGAGGAGGGGGGGGGCACGACGUUACAUACCUCGCAGCCGAGGGCCGUGACCGCCUCCGGGCGGAUCCACGACGGCCGCGGCGCCCUCGCGGCCAUCACCGCCGCCAGCGUCGUCCUGCUCCCCCCGGUUCCGCCGCCCCCACAGUACGCCAUUUGAGGAGAGAGAGCUUCCCGUCGCCAUUUCAGCAAACACAUGAACGAAUGAAUAUAUCGAAUUCGAUCCAAGCGGGGAAAGGAGAAAAAAAUGCGAAAUAAAUUAUCUACCUCGUUUGCUUACGAUUUACGCUUCCCAAAAUCGAACGAAAAAUUCAACAGUAUAGUGAACCGUCGAUAUAUUUUAUUUUUAAUUCACCUAAUCUGUACUAGUAGUGGUAUUUUUGGAUCUCUUGCUACUAGAACGGAGCGGAGGAAGUGGUUUUAAAAGAGUUUUAAUCGCAUUAAAUGAGUUGCCCACGUAUAGGCUAUAACUGCUGAUAUGUUAAGAAAUUUAUUUAUGAAGAGAGAACUAUGCCAGGAUUUAUAUGGGCAGGGGUGCAGAAUUGUUAGCUGUGCUCCAACCAAAAGCCCAAAAGCCCAGUUGAUGCCCUGUUUAGUUCAUAGAAAUUUUAUUCUAAAAUCAUCACAUCAAAUCUUUGAACACAUAAAAAAAUAUUAAAUAUAAAUAAAAUGAAUACUAAUUACACAGUUAUAUAAAAAUCGUGAGACGAAUCUUUUGAGCCUAAUUAGUCCAUAAUUAGCCAUAAGUACUACGGUAACCCACGUGCACUAAUGAUAGAUUAAUUAAGCUUAAAAGAUUCGUGUCGCAGUUUUAGGCGAGCCGUAAAAUUUAUUUUUUCAUUCAUAUCAAAACCCCUUCCGCCAUCCAGUCAAACGUCUAAUGUGAUACUCAAAAAUUUCCAUUUCCCCAACUAAACACCCCCGAGCCAAAGUGAGAGCGGGAGACAACGACAUAUAUGGAAAAUGUGGUUGACACGGGAAGGACCCUCGUUUUUUUAGCAUGUUUUUAAAUGGUUGAACGGUCUAUUCAUAAAUAUAAAAUUUAUAUUAAUAUAUAUUUUUUUUUAAUAAUAUUUUUAUACUCCACAAUUGGUAGAUCGAAUGAAAAAAAAUUUCUCAAUUUUUCCUAUACUCCAUUCCUACCAACUGAAUGAUACUGGUAGAAAUUGAUUGUUAGGAAUCCAAAUAUUUGUUUUUCCUUCUCACCAAACCAGCCCUAAGAAACUUAUAAAGAAAACAAAGAAAUGUGUCUGAAUAUAUGUGCUGCAGGAUGGUUAGCUGUUCUUAGAAAAAUCACUUUACAUCCCUCAACUAUGGAUUGAAUUUCAUUCACGUCCUUCAAUCAUAAAACUAGAUAUACAACAUCUCAAUCUAGGUUUCUCUUUGCUUUCAUCUGACGUGCCUAACAUACUAUGUUGCACUACGGUUAACAAAGUACGAUGGUUUUAUCCUACAUGCCAUAUCAGAACUAUCUAGUAAGAGAAAUAAUGUUAAAACUAGUGGGACCCACAUAUUGGUUGGACAAAAAAAUUAAAAAAGUAAGACCCACAUGUCCCCACUCACCUUCUCUGCUCCCUUGCUCGCUUCCGUGGCUGAUAUACACUUUUUCUUCCAUUCAACAGAAAAAUACACAUAUAAGGAUAAUUAUCAAAAAUACACACUUACCGUAUGAUGGAAAUGCGGCAUUGCCUUGAUACCAUGUGUCAAUGUAGCGGUACCGCGUUGAUACACCCAAUAUUGUACUAAUCUCGUGCUCCCAUACAUGGCCCUGAUUUGAAAUUGACACCUUAUGCAACAAAAGGAUUGGCAUCGCACCGCAUACAUGACCAUGAUGCUCUGCAUGUUCUUUUUCACGCACUACAAGUUGAUAAAGGCUCCUUAGGGUAAGGUAAGUAACUCGUGUGCACGAGUGGCCCGAUUUUCGGUGGCUACUAAUUGUGAAAAAGACACUGAUAAUCCGACUAUAACCAUACAUGGCGUUGUUUUGUGUUGCGCCUUAGCGAUCGAUACAUCUCUUCAGAGAUUGCCGAUCUUAUUGGUGUAGAUUAACCUUACUUCUUCAAGCAAUCGAGAACAAGAUAAAAUAAACACUGAUUCGUAAAAUAUAAGUGAAGAACAAAAGAUAAAUCUCAAUUAAAAGUGGUUUCCCAAACAAGUGAACGGCAUUGAUCCAACAUGCAUGCUACCAGGAAAUAACUUAAGCUAAACUUAAAAUUUCUUUAAUGCUCCUCUUAAUGGUGAGAAAUGUAUUGGCCUUGAUUGGAUAUAUUUCUUUAUAGGUGUAUUCCAUGUGAAAUUUAUAAUUUUAUUUUGAAUCUAGGAUCAAGAAAUUUGCCACUAACUUAUUUCGGUGUUUUUUUUUCCUCUAGCUGAAUGCUUGUGCGCGGUUGAUUGACUGAAACAACGCUAAACAAUUAAGAUAUUAGCCAUGUCGUUCCAACAUAUUUUUAUUACUACUUUUUCAACCAUACAUGUAUAAAAAUUAUUGGAAGUAUAACCUACAUGACUACGCCCCCCCCCCCCCCCCACCCCNNNNNNNNNNNNNNNNNNNNNNNNNNNNNNNNNNNNNNNNNNNNNNNNNNNNNNNNNNNACGCACCCCCCCCCCCCCCCCCCCCCCCCGGAAAAAAAACAUUCGGUUCAUAGAACACAUGGGAUAUCAAAAUCGGAAAAUACUACAAUUUCUUUCCAGUUCGCUCGCAGAUGUGAAGGAUACGGUAGAAGACCACACAAGGUGCACAACAACAUUUUGCAGCCACCAUAUCAGUUAAAACUGAUAUCUACAAAGCCUAUAAUGCUUCCAAGAUACACCAUUUGGUUCUGACGACCAAGAGGUAUCCAGCUCUGUAACGCUACAAGCAUACAUCGGGCAACUACAUGAAACCCUAUCAAAAAUGCAAUGUUUCUGCUCAUAUUAAAGACUGCAUCUUUAAAAUCUCCAUGACUACAACUAGCUGAGUCUAUUUGGCUCACAACAGUACAAGAAAAUUUGGGUGUCAAUACUUAUCAGAAAGUGUGAAAAAAAGAACAGAUACAAAAUGGCAAAGGGUCUGCAGCUUUGAACCAACCCCCUUCCAGUUAUGAAACCUCCACCACCGCUUUCGAUGCCUUCCACGAUAGACUGCAAGCUGGCUGCCAACUACGGUUUUCCUCAUUCGCCUUGCUGGGUAGAACUCAAUACGGCAUAGUGGAACUAAAGCAAAAUUGUUCCAGAAUUAGACAAAAUCAACUAAAUUCAACUUGAGACGACUUUCUUUCGGACAACUCUCUUUCUGCGAGGCUUGGACAAUGCAGCUUCUGUUCCAACUUGCUUGAUGCCAAGAAGACCAAGGCCAGAUACAAUCGCAUCCUUCGAUAUAAACCACCUUGAAUCUUCUUGUCCCCCAGCAACCUCUACUGGCCUUUUGUAUGCUCUCAACAAUCGAUCUGAGUACUGUGGAUCAGCUUCCUCUCCAAGCCAUGUGCAUCUUGAUGAUUCGCCAAUCUGAAUGUUCGUCAAUCUGCAAUACAAAUGGCAUCAAAGCUUAGUGGUAGAGUGUGAUCCCCAUAAGAUGCAAUUAAAACACUUCUGGAACACUGGAACACAGGCAAUACAAAUAGAGCAAACCAAUGAAAUAAAUAACUUUUAGAACUGAAGUGAAUAUAAGAUAGAAAUCAUGUAAGGAUAACAUAAAAAGUAAGAUCUAAUCAUCUAGCAUACAGAAUUAAACUGCAGCAAAGCUUUACCAUUACAACCUUUUGUCAACAUACCAGCACAGCUGAAACACUUCACAUAGAUUUCUAUACAGCCACAACCAUCUCCAUAAUUAUGCAAAUCACUAAAUGAAUUCUAAAUACAAGCUAACAAGUCGACAACCAUUAGCAUAAGUUUAUCGCUAAAUCAUGCAACUCAACAAACAUUUCCAACUACAAGAAUGAAGUACAUAUCAGUGAACAGUUAGCAAUGUCUAUACCUCAAAGGUAUAAAUCCAAAACCAUAUACUAUGACAAAAAAUAGAUCUAGUGCAGCUUUAAGAUGUGUCAAGUUAAAUUUGCAAGAAAAAACUUUUUCAUGAAUGCAGUAAUUGGUUGAUUGUCUGCUGGAAACUGCUGAACCUCCUGGUUGCAUCCUAUUUCAAUUUUGAAAUAGUCAACUGGCAAUCAUUUCCAGUUUUUCAUCUGUAACGGGCAAAACACAGCAAGGUUCCAGGAGGAUUCAGUUUUUGGUGAAAACUGCUCCAAAUGUAUUCUCAUCUACCAUUGUGCUAUGCCAAUACUAUUGCAAAUUGCUACUUAAUUCUUUGUUAUACAGAAAAGUGGAAGUAAUCAUCCAUGUAGGUAUUAGGUUAGCUCUUGUAUCAAAUCCUUGGUUGUUGCCCACUUUCACAGCCCAGACUGAAAAGGCGAAAAGCCGAAAACUCAAUCUGAACAUGUCAAAUAUAGUGCAUCGUAUUAACAUCCCACGUAAUUUAACUGAUACAAUCAAUAUGUGCAUCAACAGUAGUAUCCCAUGCACCAUCGAUAAAUUAUCUCAGAUUACUGGGUUUCUGCCUUCAUAAAAAAUGCAUAACAAUGGACACCAGUUAGUUAUCCUGUGGGAUAUUCUACAGAGCUCAGUACAUAUUUACCUUAGUGCUGUGCUGAAGAAGAUUGCCACACCAAGAACAUCAAAUCUUCUGACCAUAUACUGAUCCAGUCCACAUAAUAGUUGAUACCGCAAGUUUGCAUAAAGUCCAAGGAAGGCUCCAUACCCAAGGGCAUUGGUGCUCACAGAAGGAAUGGUUACCGAUAACCUAUAUAUGGGAUUAGCAAAGCAGAAAACCAAAAGUUAAAUUCUAGAAUGAAUAGAUUUGAAUAGAUUAGAAGAAGCUAUGAAGUAAAACUAUGAUAAGCCCACCUCCUUUCCUUUCUUGCAGACAGGGCUUUUGAGAGACCACCUUGAAUAGAACCAGCAACUACCCCAACCAAGCUAAGCUCUGCUGCCUUGUAAAAGAAUGCACUGAUCCGUUUUUGUAGAUCAAACUCUCUCAAAGGAUAACUCUUCUCAAACAUGUUGUUGGGAAGUUUCUCAAUUGCAUUCUGGAAGUCAAAUCGCGAUGUACUCCCAUAUGAGCGACAUGGUGCCAGAAGCCCAAGAACCACCACAUUGCAACAAGAGGCAGUCAGAGCAUUGACGACAGCCAAAUCCCAUUCUUGCUCAAACCUGAUUUCUCAGAGUUAGAAGAAUUGGUAAAAAUUAAAGUGUUGAAUACAAGAUCACAGAAAAUGUACAGCAUACCUCUCCUUACGUAUGUUCAUCUCCCACCAAACAGAUGAGAAAAAGGUAGCCACGAACUCAAAAGCUAUCUUAUGUGGGAAUGAUGGAUCUGCAAGCGUCCUGCAUGUAGAGAGAACAGAAGACAAUUUAAACUGGUGUUACGAAAACCAACACUUCAAAUAUGCCAUAUGUACAACCAAGACAUUUCCAUUUUAAUUUGAUCAAGCAUAUAUUGAGUAAAUGUGACUACAGAAAUGCAAUAUUUGCUUAUGGAGUUCGCCAACUAGUAAAAUAUAAGCUAAGCUCGAUACAAAGUUGGAAGUUCAGCUUUCUUAAGGUACCAAAAACAAGAAAUAUCAUUCUACAGAUGAUAAUAUAGGUUAUGGUUUAGUUUUAAAUACAGUAAACCUACAGGAUAACUGGUAAACUAAAUUAUGGUAACCAACUCCCGUCAUUUAAAUUCAACGAAGAAGAAAAGACAUUCCAUGAGGCAAUAUUCAUGUACACCAGUGCCUAAUAAAGGAGGGAAAUAUCUCCAACUUGGAUUUAUGGCUUGCAGCUUAAGUCUAAAUCACUAAACCACCAUUCCUACUGCCUAAAACUAAAUGAGGUAAAGAGACUAGAUGUCACCUACCAUCUUUCAAGAAGUUUACCGUGCCACCCAAGCUACUACACAUUUGUUUAUCUUUCAUAUUUCAAAUAUGAUACAUUGGUCCCUCCCCCAAUUUUUAUCUAAAAAAAACUUCUUUUGUUUCAGCUAUUAUGGGCUCAGUUAAAAUGUCAAGGUUGUCCACUGCGCAUAUUCCCCAUCUCCACAGCAAAUUCUGGAUACACCCUAUCAAUGCUUCUCCACUGGACAGAAUUUGUAGCGUGUUACUUUCCUAUGAUCCUCGCACGCCAUGGCAGAGGUGAGUAUGGGUAUAGUGGCCGGUGGUGUACAGUUAAAAGGUGCAAAGAGAAGUGGGAUAACAUCAACAAGUGCUUCACAGGGCCGUGGAUAACAGAAAGGUGCAGAUAGCAAGGUGCACCCUACUUCAAAUGAGAUCAACCAUCUCUAAACCUGUGCUGAUUGUGCCAAACCAUCCUCUGGCCUCCCAUGCGGGUGCAAGUGAUGGUGCUUAGGUAAGGUUGGCACUGCUUGACAGUGGUAAAUUGCCCCAACAUUUUUCAUCAAUAGCGGCUAUUCAUGGGAUCCAUGCGUGCAUUCUUCUAAGUGAUGGCAUCAGACACCUAAGAAAUCACUGACGCUCCGGCAGUCAUGUGUUGCAUGGGGCAGGCAGGAUGUGGAUUUUGGAGGAGACAGCAAGUUAAGGUCACAGCUAUGGAAUAAAAAGGAGAUGGUGUGAGGGUGAAGGCAGCCAUUUUGGCCUUUCAAAAAGCUUCCACCUUGGUCAAAGUUUCCAUACGUGGUACUUGGUAAUUAAUUCCUCGAGUGGCAUGUUCAGGGUUAAACAAGAAAAAAUUGCUAGUUUCAAGUGGUAACUGGUAAACAAAACUUCUCAAAAACAAAUGGGCAGUUGCGGCACCACAACAAAAUCAAAGAACAAAUAUACCACCUAGAAAUUCUCUCUUCUUUCUAUAUUUUCCUUGCAGCAGGUGCUAGUUAAAAUAAUUAGCAAUCUAAACAUAGUACAAUAAUAUUAUGUUUGCCUAUUGCAAUGUGAGUUAUGCCUAAGAAGGCACAUAUGCUGGCACAAAAACUAUAUGCAAAAGCAUACACAUGUAGAAGACAAAAACUAAGUGUGGACAUCUAGCUGUUACCUUCCAACAAGACCUCUGGAAAGCCAUCCAGGAAGAGUUCGCGAGAAGGAUCUGGAAUGAGUAGGCCUUGCAAAAAUUGCAAGGUACCGUACCAUCUGGGCAGAACUAACCAAACCCUAGAUUGAUACAUCAUGAUCAGUCCAUGUAAUUCAGACAUUGGUACCAAACAAUGGCAUGAGAAACAAAAUAUGAAAUGUUACCAUCUCAUAAGCUUGGCGGAUACCAGCAGGCAAAUUACUCAUCGUUUUGCACCACUCUUGCAUUACAGCAUCCACAAACUCUCUAUUGAAAAGCUGGUUCAAUAGGAGAAAGAAUCAGCACAUAGGUCUCAAUAUUUUCUGGGUUAGAAAUUAAUAUAUCCUGAUUUAAAUAUUAGGGAUUUCACCUCCUGUAUGACGAUUCGUCUGCGGAAAAGACCACCUUCCUCUUCCUCACCAUCAUCAAAAUCAUCGAAGUAAUCAUCAUCAUCGCCAUCAUCAUCGCCACCAUCACCCCCACCAUGACCAAUCCUUUUCCCAAUAUCACCACCACCACCACCUGUGGCCAGCUGCAACAUUUUAAAAGAAGAGGUACAUGAUGAAUAUAUACACAGAAUAAUAAUUAACACCCCUUCAAAGAAGAACAUUUAAGGACAAACAGAUAUGCAUAUUAAAGUGAGUUUUUAAGCUAACAGGUCAUCAAGCUUUGUCAGAUUUCAACAUGGCACCGCGAUCUUUCAUUCUAGAGCACAGAAAUGGAGCAUUUGGUUUUAGAUCAAUGCAUUUAUUAUUGUAAGAAUCCCUACUUACCACCAGAUCAGCAUCACGCCGAUAAAUAACAUGAGUUAGCAAUAGAACAUUGGUAUCUAUAGUAAUUGGCCCUAGUACUCUAUUUGAAACAAAUCCAUGUACCUUUGCACCAUCAAACCUUAUCCAUUAUUCCAUUAUAUUGGCCUUCCAGUCCGGCCAUCCAAUUUCAAAACGAAUUUGGAUCGAUCGAUACCCUGAUCUCUUUGUCACGUAAUUCAUUCAGUCGACAAGGCAUGAACAACGCAGGGUUAUCUUAUCUCCCAAAUUCCCUAAGCCUACCCCGGAAAUUCAUCCGGUUACAGCUACCCAAGAAAAACCAAACAGGGAAAUCAUGAUUAGCAACCCUACCUCGGGCGUGAUCUUCUUGCGGCCCUUGGACAGGUCAACCUUCCGCUCGAGCGUGACGGCGCCGAACGAGCCNNNNNNNNNNNNNNNNNNNNNNNNNNNNNNNNNNNNNNNNNNNNNNNNNNNNNNNNNNNNNNNNNNNNNNNNNNNNNNNNNNNNNNNNNNNNNNNNNNNNNNNNNNNNNNNNNNNNNNNNNNNNNNNNNNNNNNNNNNNNNNNNNNNNNNNNNNNNNNNNNNNNNNNNNNNNNNNNNNNNNNNNNNNNNNNNNNNNNNNNNNNNNNNNNNNNNNNNNNNNNNNNNNNNNNNNNNNNNNNNNNNNNNNNNNNNNNNNNNNNNNNNNNNNNNNNNNNNNNNNNNNNNNNNNNNNNNNNNNNNNNNNNNNNNNNNNNNNNNNNNNNNNNNNNNNNNNNNNNNNNNNNNNNNNNNNNNNNNNNNNNNNNNNNNNNNNNNNNNNNNNNNNNNNNNNNNNNNNNNNNNNNNNNNNNNNNNNNNNNNNNNNNNNNNNNNNNNNNNNNNNNNNNNNNNNNNNNNNNNNNNNNNNNNNNNNNNNNNNNNNNNNNNNNNNNNNNNNNNNNNNNNNNNNNNNNNNNNNNNNNNNNNNNNNNNNNNNNNNNNNNNNNNNNNNNNNNNNNNNNNNNNNNNNNNNNNNNNNNNNNNNNNNNNNNNNNNNNNNNNNNNNNNNNNNNNNNNNNNNNNNNNNNNNNNNNNNNNNNNNNNNNNNNNNNNNNNNNNNNNNNNNNNNNNNNNNNNNNNNNNNNNNNNNNNNNNUUGUGGUGGUCGACGCCCUCCGUCCGGCGCCUCCGGGGUGGAGGAAGGUGGCUUUAUCGAAAGAGGAGGAGGAGGCUAAUCUGCUUUGGUUUUAUUUAGAGGGUUUCUUUUCUUUUUUCGAUAAAAGAAAAAAAUCGGUUGAGUGAUGAGGCUGCCUUGCCUUUCCUUCUCUUCCCCUGCCUGCUUGGAUGCAAAAUUCCCCUGCUGAUCCGCUGCUUCUUUAAUAAAGCGUGGAGGUUCCAUCAUCUCCGAGUCACCGCUUAUCUCACUUGACAUACUAAAUAUUAACAAUUUUGUACAAAUUUUUUUCUCCAAGAGACUAUCUAUUUUAUUUGUCAUGAUAUUUAAAUGGUUAAACAUGGCCCUUUAAUAGCCAAAUUUUGCAAGUCAUUCUAAGGUUGCUAUCUAUGGGUCUCAUCCCCUUGCUAAAUUUGAAGAGUGAUGAUGAAGAGUCUAUUAGAAUGCACAUCAGAUUUGAAGUUGCUAAAUCUAAUAUGAAUAGCUUAAAUUUAGAUUUAGAGAGUUAAAAUUUACGUCAGAUUAAAAUCGGUUUUUUUGUGAGGUUGUUUGACAGGGAGGAUUGUUUUGGCCGUGAGAUUGGGGCUGCAUAGAUGUUGUGCUUAUAUUUUAAAAUUGUGGUGCUUAUAUUUUAAAAUUGAAAUCAGAUGAGUGAUUAAGUUAAAGUAUAUUUACUAGAAAAUUAGAUUAAGUAUGAUUUGUUUUGAUCGGAUCGGAUCAAUACAAUUGAACUAAGUGUUGUUGGUGUUGUUUUUAUUCUAUAUAAACCUUUUCAAUUUAAAUAAACUCCUAAAACUUAUUAUUAAUCUAAGCAUAAUGUGGCAUGGCAGUGGUGUGACCUCAGAAAUAGUGGUACUACUUUUCUUUUAUGAAAUUUUGAAGACCAAAAGUUCCAUUCAAACUUUUGAUGACUUCUAAAUUUAUAAUGGAAUACAUUUGAUUUGUAAGAAAUUUGUCAAAUUUUUUUCUAGAAACAGCAAUAGUUUGUGCAUUGCAACAUAAACAGAAAAGGAAUUCUUUUGUUGGCUCAUGAAUCCUUUUGUUUUGACAAACUUCUGUUGGCUCAUGGAUUCUUUUGUUUUUGAGAAAAAAGAAUUCUUAACCGAUUGAGGUCCAAAAAUUGCACAUAACGAGAAACUACCAACAUCACUAUUUAUACGAUAUAUUUUUAUUUUUUUGUAAUUUUCUUAUUUCAAAUUUUUUAAUUCAUUGAAAUUGCAAAAGCUUGUUUCAACAGGAUGUAAUUGGCAAUAUUACAUGCACCAGUGUGGGCUUUUUUAUCAACUCUAGAAUGUACUACUACAUCCGUUUUAUAUUGUAAGUCUUGUCUAAAUUCAUUCAUUGACGAAUGUAUAUAAUUUAUAUGUGUAUAUAGAUUCAUUAACAUCUAUAUAAAUCUUGACAAUGCUGGAAAGACUUGCAUUACGAAAUGGAUGGAGUACUAUUUACUCAACAAAUAUAACACAUUUUGGUGCAUACACCUCACCCCCAGCCAGCCGAAACACCCAUCCAAGCAUUAUGUUGGGCACUUGGAAAAGAUGCAUGUAGCAUAUAGCAUAUAGCAUAUAGGUGGAUCGGGAACAUGCCACUAAUCGCCUUAUGGAAUGCAGGUCAGGCAAGAAGGCAAGAUGAACUACAUCUCCCAAGGCAAGUAGGAAGGCAAGAUGAAUUAUAUCUUGGCAGGUAAUCCACUAGGAAACGAACUCAACAUACGACAAGAAAGAGUCGUAUCAAUUACGCUACUAAGGCUUUGUUUAGUCCAAAUUUUUCACCAAAAACAUCACAUCGAAUCUCACACCCAAAUGAAGCAUUAAAUAUAAAUGAAAUUUAAAAACUAAUUACAGAGUUAUAGGAGAAAUCGUGAGACGAAUCUUUUGAACCUAAUUAGUCCAUAAUUAGCCAUAAGUGCUUUAGUAACCUACAUGUGCUAAUGAUGGAUUAAUUAGGCUCAAAAUAUUCAUCUCGCAGUUUACAUGCUAGUCAUAAAAAUUCGUUUUUUUAUUCGUGCCCGUAAACCCCUUUCGACAUCCGUUCAAACGUUUGACGUGACAUCCAAAAAUUUUCUUUUCACCAACUAAACACCCCCCCUAAAAAGGAAAUAUGCCUUUAAAAUACGAAGGGAGCAGUAAUCAAGUGCAAGUGUUGACUCAUGAGGUGGUCAAGGAUAUCAACUAACCUAUCAUUAUGUCUAUGCAGUCCUUUACCCUUUUAGGGUAUCUGUUGGAAUGUGAACCACUUGAGCGAGAAAUUGGUGGACACCUUUUGUGUUGGGCCAAGAAGCACGGGGGAGGUUGCUAGUUCAAAUUUGGUAUAUAGAGUAGUAAAUAUGUGGAGGAAUCAUACAAACAAAUAGAUUGUAUAUGCUCGGACCGCGCACAGGAAUGAUAUGCUACUCAUGUUCUUUUGAUUUGUGUGUGAUACAAGUGGUGGGAGUAGGAGUGUUCUCUGUUAGUGGUUGGGAAUUUCCUAUCUCCUAAACAGUUUCCUUCUGUAGCUACUAAAUGCUCUUAAUUCUAGAGUACUACUAGCUAACUUCUUUUUCACCUAGCUCUUGAAUACUCCUGAUUCACGGUUGGGUUUGGUUAUCUUCUUCUCUAUGUUGUUUUUCUUAAAUCUCUUAUGUCCACCUUGUUCAUUGGGCUUAGUACUCCUUUUAUAGUGUCAAGGAACAUGCACUUACAAGGACUCAUCUCCUUCAUCUUGCACAUUCUGGAGCUGCCAUUGAAUCCACGUGCUUCAUCCUUAUUAACAGGACAUGAGAUGGGACAAGCAACACUGAAGGUCGGUGAUAGACCUACAUGGACCUAUCAGCCCUUGUGCACCAUGCCCUUGGGUAUGGAUAUAUUUGGUAGCCCCCUGCGCAUGCUAUUGUAUAUAUGACCGGUGUACCCCACAUAUCGGUGAGGACGAGUGACAGGUGGUCGUUAUUAAGCUCUGCUGAAAUUAUUCAUCGACCCUCAUAAACCAGGAUGAUGAUGAUAAUGAUGAUGAUGAGAAGGAGGAUGAGAGUGAGGGACCCAGCAAGAGGCGUCCCUAUCCUCCACGUCUACUCAACAAACGAUGGGUGCUUUCAGGGGCAUAUCUACCACCAGGCCUUGGGGGGCUUUAGCCCCUCCUACCCGAUCUGCGCCACUUAAGCCCCCAAUUAGCCCCCGUAACAAAAUUUCUAGUAAUACUAAAGAAAAAGAAGGACUGAAAGCAGUUAUCUUUCGUUCAGCCUCUCCUAAUAUUUUUUCUGGAUCCACUACUAGGUGCUUUCCCAUAACAAGUAACAUUGCGGAGUGCGUAUUAAAUGAGGUCGGCGAGGGGUCUAUUCGCGGUGAACUCCUCCACCAACAUCCAACGGUGUGCACGCUGAUAGAUCACUUCCUUUCCAUGGAGAAGGAUCGGGGUAGCCUGAUCGCUCCUAGCUAUGGCACAAUUAAGCCUUAGGAUGUCAUGAGUCAACCAGCUGGAAACCCUUGUUCCCAGAUCAUCCAUAGUAUACUUGUGACUGCCAUAUGUACUCCAAAGGCUAUACAAGCCUAAUAUCUUCCUUAUAUGACACACAUUAAAUCAUAAUUAUAUCAUAAGAAAUAUCCAACCCCAUCUUUUGGCUUUUUCUUAAGCUUAUAAGUCAAAUUUUGAAUUUUUUUACUUUAAAAUUGGAGUUAAUUUUGAGGUUUUUCAUUAUAGUUUAUUAUUCAGUUUUAGUUUUUAGAUCACUAUAAACGUGUAGAUACAAGAUUUAUUCACAAAAUAUAUUUUUUAAAUAUGGCGUUUGCCUUUUCUUUUAAAAACCCAAAAGAUUACCCAUCACAGUGGUAAAUUAACUUUACAUACUCGAAUAAUUCACAUUUUACAAGAAUAUGCAAGGGAAAUUAACUUUUCAUUCCUUAUUUCCUGGUUGUUCGUAACCUAUCGUCACAUGAACACAAAAGGACAGAACGGAACAUCAUGUUUAUCGCUGACAAUGCUUGGCAUAUUAGAAGCAUCGUGGAAAGAGGGUGGAGUCAAAGUGUCAACUUCAGCAAUUCUCCUAAACAAAAUGAGUCAAGGCAAGUUUUUCUGUACACCUGAGGCUCCAUCAAGGUAGCGUUUUUCUUCCUUCUUUACUACUCACUUAGAUUUUUUUUUUAUGUCAUUGACUUUUUGAUUUAUGUUUGACCCUUUAUCUUAUUCAAAAUAUUUGUCCAAAUAUGCAAAAUUAUAAAUCAUACUUAAAAUUACUUUAGUAAUAAAACAAAUCAUAAUAAAAUAGUCAAUAAUUAUAUAAUUUUUUUAAAUAAGACGAAGGGUCAAACAUGGAUCAAAGAGUCAACGGUGUCAAAAAAAAAAUUGAAGAGAAUAUUAUAAUAUUCGCUACCAACCUUAUUCAACAAGCGCCUAAUUUCUCCUUUUGAUAUAUCAAAGGGAGAUUGGAGAUUUAGAGGUGGUUAUAUUUGCUUUAAACAAGGUAAAAAUCAAAGAGGGGUAUAAGUUAGAGCAGAUCCCCAGUAAAGACAAAUUUCAAGUAGCUUAUAGGAAAAAGAAAGCUUUAUUCUUACCCGUUAACUCCUAACUUUGUUUAAUUUCAAUCUCAAUUCUUUUACUCGGUAAAACUUACUAUGAUUCAGCUCUUAAAUACAAAUCAUUGUCAUGAUUGUCAUGCUUUUGAACCGGUGGAAUCCGAGUAGACAAUAAGCACUUAGGCUGUGCUCUUAUUUGGGGAGAUCUCUACUAUUAUAAAAAUACAAAAACGCUUCCGUCGCACGUUAAUCCGCUCGCACACGUCGUUACCGAAUCACGUGAUAAUUAGUUCAAUUCAACUCUCUUAUUGAAUGUAGCAAGAUGCGAAGAUGACUUCGUAGGCCAAUGAAUAAGGCGUUGUUCUGCCGAACCAAAUGUUUCUGGUUCAUCCCAGGCAAAGUCGUCUUUUAUUUGGUUUUUGCAGCCGCUCCGUGCGUUCCGCUCGCCCGUCCCCGUCCCCGUCUAAGGCGUUGUUCUGCCGAACCAAAUGUUUCUGGUUCAUCCCAGGUAAAGUCGUCUUUUAUUUGGUUUUUGCAGCCGCUCCGUGCGUUCCGCUCGCCUGUCCCCGUCCCCGUCCCCGUCCCCGUCCCCGCCUGGGCCAGCCAACCGGCCCACGCGACGGCCUGUCGCCUCGGAUGAGCCAUGCUUCGCUCGCGUGGACCGCGUCAUUGCGCUGCCGCGCCGCCAUCCUCGUCCGCUUGCCCAGGUUGCCGGAUGGGCUGCCAGCCACCUUGGCAGGCCGAGCGGAGAAAGGAGAAGGCCUGGAGCUCCUGUCUUGGACUGCCUCCUCUCUCUCUCUCCCUCUGCUCUUUGAUUUUCUUUUGCAAAUUUCCGGCGCUUCCACCAGCCAGCCAAGCCCUAGGCGACUCUUUGGAAACACAAUGUACUUUUGUUUUUAAAAAAGAAUUCAAAUAGAAAUACAAUUAACAAUAAAAAUAAAACAUUUAAAAAGUGAGAUGUUGAACUUCUAUAUUAAACAUUUUAAACAAAAUGUACCGUUUAAUAGUUCGAUAAACGUGCAUACAUGAAUAGAGCAAAAUCUGAGAAAAAUCUCGAUAGUUCAAUACGAUCUGUCAGAAUUUCCGUGACUAUAAGAUAUUUAUGAGAGUUAGGCAUCACCACUCACCUAUAUUAUCUUGUCUGGUUUCAAUACUUUAGAAAUAAACUUUUGCCAGCUCUAGAAUUAAAAUUUAAAGGAGUAGAGACUAAACCAAGAUGAAAAUCGGGUUACAAGUAAGUUGGUAUGCAUUGACACAUGUUUAGAGAUGUACGAUGGUAGAACGUUGUUACUCGCUACAUCAAUGUAUUACUUGUUUCUUUAAACUGUGGUAGUAUUUUUAGUCUUUAUAAAUACAAUAAUUUUUUUAAUAAUCUGUUAAAUGACAUCAUGGCCAAUUGUAAACAAGACAUAUAUGUAAAUCGUAUGCUACAUUGAAUUUGAUAUUUGAUCUAACAUACAAGUCAUUCAAGUCUAAAUACUAAUACUAAUCUAAUAAACUAAAGAUCAGGUAUAGAGGAAAUGACUCAGCCAGUAGAGGAGGUGUUUUAUUUCAGUAUAUAACCAAUAACGCUUAGCGACCUAUUAUAGCUAAUGUGACAAGAGAAGACAAGAAUGUAAAGCAACAUGAAUAUCAUGUCAACACAUCCUGUUUAUCCUAUUCAAACAAAGUUGAUGGUAAUGUGGUUUUUGCCACACCAACUCCAUGGACAAGUAUUUCCCCUUCACAAAAAAUGUAAUGCAUGCAUCCCCUUCACAAAAAGUGUAAUGCAUGCACUAUACUCCGACGCAGCGUGUGACUCUGGCCCACCAUGUCGGAGCACGUAUGACAGUUGGCUAUGGACCGUGGUCUUGGGGAGAGGCGUGUCCCCUCUGCAGGAGCCGGUGGCUCUGUCAGAACUUCUCAGUGAAACCAAAAAAAGUCGGAUCCACCGACACCAAGCUCGACGACGAGAGGAAGACGCCGGAGACCGCCGCGCCGCCGNNNNNNNNNNNNNNNNNNNNNNNNNNNNNNNNNNNNNNNNNNNNNNNNNNNNNNNNNNNNNNNNNNNNNNNNNNNNNNNNNNNNNNNNNNNNNNNNNNNNNNNNNNNNNNNNNNNNNNNNNNNNNNNNNNNNNNNNNNNNNNNNNNNNNNNNNNNNNNNNNNNNNNNNNNNNNNNNNNNNNNNNNNNNNNNNNNNNNNNNNNNNNNNNNNNNNNNNNNNNNNNNNNNNNNNNNNNNNNNNNNNNNNNNNNNNNNNNNNNNNNNNNNNNNNNNNNNNNNNNNNNNNNNNNNNNNNNNNNNNNNNNNNNNNNNNNNNNNNNNNNNNNNNNNNNNNNNNNNNNNNNNNNNNNNNNNNNNNNNNNNNNNNNNNNNNNNNNNNNNNNNNNNNUCCCCGCCGGUCUCACCCGUCACCUGCCGAGGUCGCCGCGGCCGUCGCCGUAGCCCGACCGGGAGAGAGCUUGGGAGGGGAAGGGAGAGGGGAGAGAGAUACCUGAAAAAUUAAAAAAAAAGUUUUGUAGGACCCACCUACGACACCUUGUAUUGGGGAAGGGUAGCCUUAUCCUACGUGGCAUGGUAGGACUCCCAUGUGAGGAGCCUGCAUAUAAAAUGCCCUUGCCCUAAGGUCCAACGAUCUGGACCAUCAGACAAACAAAAUAGGAGAAAGUAGACUGAAUGGCAGUGUGAAUGACAUGCAAGGAAGAAGCUCUAUCAAACAAUGUUAAUAGUAAUGUAACUUCUGGUACACUGAUACUGUCAUAGACUGUUUGCCCUUCAACCCAAAGUGAUGUGAUCAGGAACUAAUAAUCUAAG